Non-coding RNA from Mycena metata, 95 nucleotides. The record is from the annotation of a GenBank genome assembly. NCBI's taxonomy places the organism in Eukaryota, Fungi, Basidiomycota, Agaricomycetes, Agaricales, Mycenaceae.
GGCCUGGUGGUGUAGUUGGUAACACCCCUGCCGUCCUUGGACAACAAAGGUUUAAGGUUAAGCGGGAGUUCCUCAUUCAAUUCGAGGUCGGGUCA